GAAUCAAUAAGUGAAAUAACUGAAUCUCUAUAUAAUAACCCAAGGAUUGGUAGUACAAGUCACGAGCCACUAAGACUUAAUCAGAUUUACAAGCUGGUACGAAGUAAUACAACAUCUGUUUGGAUUAUACAUAAAUAGAAUUCAAAUCUAAAGCUACCAAGGACAAGUGGUAGACAUAACCAGAAUGCAGGUACAUCUUCAACGUCGGCUUCCCCCGUACGCAACAGCAUCAACUCCAGGAUAUGCAUGCAAGGUGCAAAAGUGCAGUAUUAGUACAACCGACCACAUGUACUCAAUAAGUAUCAUAACUUACCUCAACGAGGUAAUAGAAGCAAGAAUUAUAAAUGAUACUUACAAUCACUUGUACAAGUUCAUAAAAUUCCAAAAAGUAUAGAACAUAUAUAUGAUCAAAUCAGGAAAACACAAAUAAAACCACCUUGGUGCUCAUAAUUCGUUUUAAUGUGUUUUGCUCGGUCGACAAUCCAUCAUAUAAGGAAGAUAUGCAAGUAAAUUAGGUAAAAAGUCAAGAAAAUUACAAAUAAUGAUGAUAUGCAAUAACCAAAUAUCAAUCUGUGUGCGCAACCCUAUCCCAAUAGAAAUCACAUCAUCGCUCUUCUGCCCAGAUCAUGAACCAAACCAAUAACCAGCUCUCCCAGAAGUCACAUCAACUUCGGUUUCUCAUAAUCUACGUGUGUGCCAUCAAGAGAGAAACAUGAGAGGGUGAUCCUAGGGGGAUGGAUCCAUAUCCGCACGCAUGCACGACCAAUUCAACGUGCAAUCAGCCCACAUGGUUAGAGGCUCAAUAUCAUAAUCUGCCUGGCAUGGUCACAAGCUAUAUCAUAAUCUGUCCGGCGUGGUCACGGGGAUAGCAACACAAUUCCCCUGGCACAGUGACAGGCAUAACAACACAUACAAUCCGGCGUAGUUAUAUGCAUAACAACACAAUCCUCCCACGCAUGGUCACAAGCAUAAUAACACAAUCCGUCCGGCGUGGUCACAAGCAUCUAGUCCAAAUCAUAUUAUACAAAAGCAGAUAUACGAUUAUACAUGUAUAUGGUGAAUGAAUAUCAAAUUUCAUGCUCCUGGAGUAGUAUAAAUGCAUGCUAAAGUGUAGGAAUGUGCAAAGUGUGCUAUCAUAGCUCAAAUCGAUAAUUUCAUCACAUAAUAACAAUUAUCAUGUUUAUUCAGGGAAUUAACCUCUAUGUAACCUCAAACAUGGGUCAAAUAGUUCACAACAAGGUUACAAAUAUGAGAAACAUCAUAGCUUAAAGAUUAACAGUCAAUUCUAGGCAAAUCAUAGCCUAAGCACUACCUCGAAUACUGAUAAAUACCCCGGUGCUCGCACAUGGGCUCAACCCCACAUAUAUGCACACCUAUAGCACGUAACUAUCAUAAAUAAUUGAGGCAACUAGCGCCUUAACUAAGUUUAGAUAAGAUACUUACCUCAAACAAGCCAAAUCAAAUGCCAAGAAAGCCAAACAAUACUCUACAAUCUUCAUCCCAUGCAAAUCAACCUCUGAACGGUUCAAAACUAGCUAAAAGCAAUAGAAUCAUCAAAUAAUGCCAUGGAAAACAAACCCAAACGAAAAAGGUCGAAUCUUUAAUCAAAAGUCUAAAGUCAACCAAAAGGUCAACCCCGGGCCCGCACCUUGAAACCAAAAAAAAUCACAAAUUUUAGUAUCCCAUUCAAUUACGAGUCCAACUAUACUAAUUUCACUCAAAUCCGACUCUAAAUCGAUGUUCAGAACUCAAUUAUUCACUUUAAAAAAGUUUAGACAAAAACUCCCAGUUUCUCUUCUAAAAUUAUCAAUCAAAUGCCAAAAUUGAAGAUAGAAUCAUAAAAUAUAAUCAAAUCCGAGUAGAUAGUACUUACUCCAAUCCAUGUGGUGAAAAUCCUUUUCAAAAUUGCCCAAAUCCGAACUCUCAAACUCAAAAUGUGAUAAAAUAAUUCAAAGGUCCGAUAUGGAGUACUUAUAUGCACUGUCAGUGGUACCCUACACAAUCCCCGUCAAUAACCUCAUGAUUGCGAUUCUAAAAUUGUCCAGCACAGCUUUUACUUUUCGUGAUCACGGUCAUUUUCCCGCGAUCGCGAUGAACAAAUUCCAUUAACCCUUUGCAAAUACUUCCCAGACAAUCUGUAGUGUUUUAGCCAUAACUUUUUGUACAUAACUCCAAAUAACAAAAAGUUUAAUUUUCUGAAAAUUAGAAACAAAGAGCUACAACUUUUGUUUUUAGAUCACCUCAAAAUACGUUAUAGAUUGCAAAAUAUAAGCUCUCCAAGUCAGCUAAGUGAUAGCAAGAAUUUCUUCUUCGUGAACGCAAUUCACAUGUCCAAUUUUCCCUUUUACUCUUCGUGAUCACGUCCCAGAGCUUUGGGAUGUACACCCCUGUAGACAAAAACCAACAGUUGAAAAAGGCCUAAAAAUGAUCCGAAACUACCCCGAAGCUCACCCGAGCCCCUCGGGACCCUGUCCGAACAUACCAACAAGUCCCAAAAUAUAACAUGAACCUAUUCGAGGUCUCAAAUCACACAUAAGAACAUCAAAACCCCGAAUUGCACCUCAAAUCAAAUUUUAUAAAAUUUUAAACUUUUAACUUCUAAAACUCGUUCCAAAUUAUAUCAAAUCAACCCGGAAUAACCUCAAAUUUUGCACACAAGUUCCUAAUGACAUAACGAACCUAUUCUAACUCUCAGAAUAAUAAUCCUGACUUGAUAUCAUCAAAGUCAACUUCAAAGGUCAAACUUAUGAACCUUCCAAACAUUUGAAUUGCCAACGUUCGCUAAUCAUAGUGAAAAUCUUCUAGAAGCCUCUAAAUACAAAUCCGAGCAUACGUCCAAGUCCAAAAUCACCAUUCGGACCUAACGAAACCAUCAAAAAUUCGAUCCGGAGUCAAAUACUCAAAAAUCAAAUUUGAUCAACUCUUCCAACUUAAAGCUUCUAAAAUGAGAAUUAUUCUUCCAAAUUGAUCCAGAAUCACCCAAAAAUAUAAACCGACGAUACACACAAAUCAUAAUACAUGAUACGAAUCUACUCAUACUCUCAAACCAUCGAACAGAAUGCAAUGCUCAAAACGAUCGGUCGGAUCGUUACACAUGCCUAAAUGGGCUAAGUAUCUCCAAGAAUAUCCAAAAAGUCUCAUUGAUAACCCUCUUAGUGGAGGACACGCCUAGUCUAGGCUAUAUAUAAUUAUAAUAAAAUGCAGCAAGUAGAGAAGGCAAUUCACAUAAUAAAUAUUAAAUAAUCUGAAAGCUAAAAUUAAUUUUGAAAACUGAUCUUAAAUUGAUAACUGAAAGCUGAAGCUGAAAAUUAGGUCUAUAUCUGAUAACUAAAAUUAAAGCGAAAAGCUUAGUCAAAGGUGAUAUUUGAAAUUUAAAUCUGAGUUACUUUUUCAGAAAAUAACUUUGCACAUAGUGGACCUGCGUACAUGUGCAUCUCGAAACACGCAUGGGGUAGUAUCAACCUAUCUUUCCAACAAAUAAUUUGGCCCUGCAUACGUGAACAUUUGGGAAGACGUACGGGAAAGUGUCAGCCUAUCUCCCCAUCAAAUAAUUUGGCCCUGCAUACAUGAUCAUCUUGGAACAUGUAUGGAGAAAUAUUUGCCUAUCUUCCCAUU
Molecule: long non-coding RNA, 3615 nt
Filed under: Nicotiana tabacum (common tobacco)
Lineage: Eukaryota; Viridiplantae; Streptophyta; Magnoliopsida; Solanales; Solanaceae
Description: long non-coding RNA (NTAB_LNC010277)
Source: RNAcentral